Molecule: small nuclear RNA, 163 nt
Organism: Callithrix jacchus (white-tufted-ear marmoset)
Lineage: Eukaryota; Metazoa; Chordata; Mammalia; Primates; Cebidae
Gene: U1
Rfam family: U1 spliceosomal RNA
About the family: U1 is a small nuclear RNA (snRNA) component of the spliceosome (involved in pre-mRNA splicing). Its 5' end forms complementary base pairs with the 5' splice junction, thus defining the 5' donor site of an intron.
Source: Ensembl
ACGCUUACCUGGCAGGGGAGAUACCAUGAUCACAAAGGUGGUUUUCCCAAAGCAAGCUUAUCCAUUGUACUGCAGAUGUGUUGACCCCUGUGAUUUCCCCAAAUGUGGGAAACUCAACUGCAUAAUCUAUGAUAGUGGGGGACUGUGCUCAUGCUUUCCCCUG